AGCGAACGCUGGCGGCAGGCUUAACACAUGCAAGUCGAGCGGGCGUAGCAAUACGUCAGCGGCAGACGGGUGAGUAACGCGUGGGAACGUACCUUUUGGUUCGGAACAACACAGGGAAACUUGUGCUAAUACCGGAUAAGCCCUUACGGGGAAAGAUUUAUCGCCGAAAGAUCGGCCCGCGUCUGAUUAGCUAGUUGGUGAGGUAAUGGCUCACCAAGGCGACGAUCAGUAGCNGGUCUGAGAGGAUGAUCAGCCACAUUGGGACUGAGACACGGCCCAAACUCCUACGGGAGGCAGCAGUGGGGAAUAUUGGACAAUGGGCGCAAGCCUGAUCCAGCCAUGCCGCGUGAGUGAUGAAGGCCUUAGGGUUGUAAAGCUCUUUCGACGGGGGACGAUAAUGACGGUACCCGUACGAAGAAGCCCCGGCUAACUUCGUGCCAGCAGCCGCAGU
This 451-nucleotide ribosomal RNA is filed under the name uncultured bacterium. Its description in RNAcentral is "bacterial SSU rRNA". It matches the Rfam family "Bacterial small subunit ribosomal RNA", at positions 29 to 521 of the family's 1533-position model. The record is from RNAcentral.